RNAcentral lists this ribosomal RNA (465 nucleotides) under Granulicatella elegans. Its description in RNAcentral is "bacterial SSU rRNA". It matches the Rfam family "Bacterial small subunit ribosomal RNA", at positions 28 to 474 of the family's 1533-position model. Lineage: Bacteria; Bacillati; Bacillota; Bacilli; Lactobacillales; Carnobacteriaceae. The record is from RNAcentral.
GACGAACGCUGGCGGCGUGCCUAAUACAUGCAAGUCGAACGAGAGCGACCGGUGCUUGCACUGGUCAAUCUAGUGGCGAACGGGUGAGUAACACGUGGGUAACCUGCCCAUCAGAGGGGGAUAACAUUCGGAAACGGAUGCUAAAACCGCAUAGGUUCUUGAGUCGCAUGACUCGAGAAGGAAAAGAGGCUUCGGCUUCUGCUGAUGGAUGGACCCGCGGUGCAUUAGCUAGUUGGUGAGGUAACGGCUCACCAAGGCCGUGAUGCAUAGCCGACCUGAGAGGGUGAUCGGCCACAUUGGGACUGAGACACGGCCCAAACUCCUACGGGAGGCAGCAGUAGGGAAUCUUCCGCAAUGGACGCAAGUCUGACGGAGCAACGCCGCGUGAGUGAAGAAGGAUUUCGGUUCGUAAAACUCUGUUGUUAGAGAAGAACAGCGCAUAGAGUAACUGUUAUGCGUGUGACG